Small nucleolar RNA from Tachyglossus aculeatus (Australian echidna), 138 nucleotides. Lineage: Eukaryota; Metazoa; Chordata; Mammalia; Monotremata; Tachyglossidae. The record is from RefSeq and is a predicted model, not a curated record.
ACCCUCUCAGGAUCGCACCUGGAUACUUUCCAGUACUCUACCAGUCUCGGCUACAGGAGGGAGAGUCAAGCAGAGGCCUACCCAUUCCAUUCCUAGCUUGGACAGUGGCUAGCAAGUGGAAGACAAUCUGCUACAAGU